RNAcentral lists this long non-coding RNA (2825 nucleotides) under Nicotiana tabacum (common tobacco). Its description in RNAcentral is "long non-coding RNA (NTAB_LNC007666)". Lineage: Eukaryota; Viridiplantae; Streptophyta; Magnoliopsida; Solanales; Solanaceae. The record is from RNAcentral.
UAAAGAAUCGUUUCCUGUCAUUUCUAUUUGAAAUUAUACAAUUAUCAAUAUAAAUAAUCACACGAACAUAAAUGAAAUUAUCAACAAAAUCAUGCUUUCAUAUCCAAAUAUGCAUUUACAAAUAUAAAGUUGGUAAUUAAUUACAAAAGUAUAUUAGCAUCCCACUGAUAAUUAUAUAAUCAAGAUUCAUAUAUCACCCCUAUUGUUUACACAACCUCUGGGCAAAUAUGGGUUCCAAACUGCCUAGCAAAACGCAUGAUAACCAUGUUCUCAACUUGUACGAAGUCUUCAAAGCUCGCAUCUUCAAUUGUAACCUCAACCUUUCAAACCCUGAAACAAUAAUAAGUAAUUUCUCUUUAGAAAAUUAUAAGGAUCUGAUUGAGUAUCUAAAAGAAAACAUAAAUGGAGAGUUACACCUAAAUAUUGCAUGAUUCCUUUUCCUUAAAAGCAUGUUAUUUUCGUACAUAAUCCAAUUAUAUUUUUUCAAAAAUGGAUUAAUAUAAAAUAACUUAUCCAUGUUAAUAUAUUGUUUCACAACUUUCAAUUAUGUAAACUCGUUUAAUCCAAUCUGCAGUGAACCUCCUUUCCUCAGGUAAGACACAAUCUUCAAGUAAUCAAAUAUUGACAAUGAGUUCCUACUCAAUACAUAAAAUAUAAUCUAGAAUGUACUACGUACACAAGUUAUUAAAACACAAACUCAUGGCAUGUGAUAGUGAUUAAACUCACCCAAACAAUUCAAGGAGGAGAGACUUCUUCAUUGCCGCUUCAAGAAGCUGAAUUACAGGAAAGAGUAAGGUAAUUAACUUUAUAAUCAGCAAUUUUGAGAGCUAGAUAUCGAGCAAAUUACAUAAAUAAGAGCCUAAGAUAUAUGACAAUACACAAUCUACUGAAACUACCAACCAUUCUUCAUAUAUGUUUGUUCAAGUACAAUUUGUUGUCUAUAGCUAAAACAUCAUUUUAAACUUAAGAAUUCCAAUGGAAGACAUUCCUCAAGAAGUGUUUAUUUAAAAAGAUCAAAGUAAUCAUGAAAAUCAAAAUAGAGCAAACAAGAGAACGUAUGAAAAAUUGGUAAAAGAAUAAAUACCUUGUCAUAUUCUAUGAGUGAAGGCUAAAUAUGAAUACUCAAUAGUCUCUAUUUACUUCAGGAAGAAAAAUGUAGGUAUUUAAAAGGAUCAAGGAUUAGCUCGUUCAAUAAACAACUCAUAUCAAUCAAAAAAUCUCAAUUUGACAAGGGUGCACUCACCUAACCCAUUCUAAGGAUUAGAACACCCGGAGGUGCAAACUUGCAAAAUGCAUAAUGUAUAUAUUCGUAAGUUUAAUCAUUCUGCCUCACGUAUUCAACCACAAUAUUUCUUAUCUUCUUAUGUCCCCAUCCCCUGUUCCUUGUUUAUAAGACUGAACCAAUGUGACUAGAGUCCAACAUACCAAAAAACGUGCAUCAAACUCCAAAGUAAUUGCCAAGAGUGUCAGUAGCUCUUUCCACAUCUAAUGCAAGCAAAUGUACAUGAGACACCGAACGGAAAAGUUUGUAGAAAUCCUUUAAUUGAGCUGAGAAUUGUAACAACCAAAUGUAUUGCAUAAGUCUAAAUAAGAUGCCUUUAAUUGAACAGAGAAUUACUCCUCCUUUAAACUGGGCUGAUUUUUAAUAUUCCCUCUCAGGAUAGGAUACCUUUAAAGUUCAUAAAGAGAAAAUUAUAUAUUUUAAUAUAAAUUUUCACUACUCUUUCUCUGUCAGUUAUACUAAAAAACUAGGGUAUACUCCUGAAUUUCUCAAUAAUUCUAAGCUCCAUCCUCUACAAAAUUUGCAACUGUUAACUUAGAAUGUCUCUCAUAUAACUUUUCUAUCAUGUCUACUGAUUAACUAUCUGUUUGCGAACUCUAAUUUUUCUUAUUCAAUCACUGUCACGUAAAGACAAAUAGAACUUAGAAAAUGAAGAUAUCUCAAAAUUAGAAUUCAAUAGCAGACUGCAAUUUUAGUUACCUCGUUUAAUCUUGCUGGUUUUUCCAUUUAAUAUUUCUCCGACACAAUAUUGCAAUAAGACUACAACUUUUUGAAGAAGCUCCUUGAUUUUGAAACAUCUACCCUUGCUCUCUUUUCCUACUGCUGUGUGUUCACUGUUCACGCCUUCGAAGACAAUUGUCUUGCUGCUUUUUACCCUACUGCAACAUCAUCUACGCCUCAAACAAACUAUUUAGCAAGCCCUACAAAAUAAAACCCCAUAACAUUUGGAGAACAUACAAAAAUCGAGAUUGUAAACUCACAGAUAACUUUAAUUUAGAAUAUUAUAUUAUAAAAAAUUAGCUCUACAACUCAUACGGUUAUACCCACUUGUAAAAACAAAAGAAUAGUAAAACGAGAGGGAACAUCACUAAAUGAAAGGGAAAUUUUGAAUUUGUAUUAGCAAAAAAGUCACCGGGUAGAGAAAUUAGAAAACAUUGACAGUGUUCUUACAUAGCUCUAAAUCCACGCAUAAACAAAAAAUUAAAGAGACAAGAAAAAUUAAGAAAAUUACCUUCAGCAACUUUGAGAUCUUUCUUGAGUCUGAGAAUCCCUUAUUUUCGCUCGGUUGCCUAAGGGAAAGGGGACUGCGGCACCAGAGAUUUGUGGAGAAGCUAGGACGAGUACCAUUGAAAUUAUGUUUUUUGACACGGAGUUAGGUUUGAGGUGUUUUUAUGUAAUUACUUUAGUUUCUUUUUAAUUUAUUUAUGUACGUAAUUCUUUUUAAGAAAUAGUUUAAGUGAUGCUCACCCGCGCUCAAUUUGGAGCAGUAGGAACCAGUUAUUGAUUUUUUUGCAGACCACAUUUACUCCCUUCGCUAUUUAAG